UGGGGGCUCGUCUAACGGCAGGACGGCUGACUCUGGAUCAGUAAGUAGAGGUUCGAAUCCUUUGCCCCCAGCCA
Molecule: transfer RNA, 74 nt
Filed under: Anaerolineaceae bacterium
Lineage: Bacteria; Bacillati; Chloroflexota; Anaerolineae; Anaerolineales; Anaerolineaceae
Description: tRNA-Gln
Rfam family: tRNA
About the family: Transfer RNA (tRNA) molecules are approximately 80 nucleotides in length. Their secondary structure includes four short double-helical elements and three loops (D, anti-codon, and T loops).
Source: RNAcentral